Molecule: ribosomal RNA, 661 nt
Filed under: uncultured archaeon
Lineage: Archaea
Description: bacterial SSU rRNA
Rfam family: Archaeal small subunit ribosomal RNA
Source: RNAcentral
CGUACGGCUCAGUAACACGUAGUCAACCUGCCCUGGAGACGCGGACAAACCCGGGAAACUGGGGCCUAUCCGCGAUAGGCGACUUCAUCUGGAAGGAGAAGUCGUCGAAAAGGGCGCACGGGUAUGCUCUGUGCGAACCGCUCCAGGAUGGGACUGCGGCCGAUCAGGCUGUUGGCGGGGUAAUGGCCCACCAAACCUGUAACCGGUACGGGCUUUGAGAGAAGGAGCCCGGAGAUGGACACUGAGACAAGGGUCCAGGCCCUACGGGGCGCAUCAGGCGCGAAAACUUCGCAAUGCGCGAAAGCGUGACGAGGCUAGUCCGAGUGCUUCCUGCUAAAGGGAGCUUUUCUCGGCUGUAAAUAGGCCGGGGAAUAAGGGGAGGGCAAGUCUGGUGUCAGCCGCCGCGGUAAUACCAGCUCCUCGAGUGGUCGGGACGAUUAUUGGGCCUAAAGCACCCGUAGCCGGUUCCGUAAGUCCUCUGUUAAAUCCAGUUGCUCAACGGCUGGCCUGCAGAGGAUACUGCGUGACUAGGAGGCGGGAGAGGCGGACGGUACUCCGCGUGUAGGGGUAAAAUCCUUUGAUCCGCGGAAGACCACCAGUGGCGAAGGCGGUCCGCCAGAACGCGCUCGACGGUGAGGGGUGAAAGCUGGGGGAGCGAACC